UGCAGUCGAACGGAGAUUACAGGCGGAAGUUUUCGGAUGGAAGCUUGUAAACUUAGUGGCGGACGGGUGAGUAACACGUGAGCAACCUGCCUAUCAGAGGGGGAUAACGAUUGGAAACGAUCGCUAAUACCGCAUGACAUAGCGGAACCGCAUGGUUCUGUUAUCAAAGAUUUAUCGCUGAUAGAUGGGCUCGCGUCCGAUUAGAUAGUUGGUGGGGUAACGGCCUACCAAGUCGACGAUCGGUAGCCGGACUGAGAGGUCGAACGGCCACAUUGGGACUGAGACACGGCCCAGACUCCUACGGGAGGCAGCAGUGGGGGAUAUUGCACAAUGGGGGAAACCCUGAUGCAGCGACGCCGCGUGAGGGAAGACGGUCCUCUGGAUUGUAAACCUCUGUCUUCGGGGACGAAACGAGACGGUACCCGAGGAGGAAGCCACGGCUAACUACGUGCCAGCAGCCGCGGUAAUACGUAGGUGGCAAGCGUUGUCCGGAAUUACUGGGUGUAAAGGGAGCGUAGGCGGGCAGGCAAGUCAGGCGUGAAAUAUAUCGGCUCAACCGGUAACGGCGCUUGAAACUGCAGGUCUUGAGUGAAGUAGAGGUUGGCGGAAUUCCUAGUGUAGCGGUGAAAUGCGUAGAUAUUAGGAGGAACACCAGUGGCGAAGGCGGCCAACUGGGCUUUUACUGACGCUGAGGCUCGAAAGUGUGGGGAGCAAACAGGAUUAGAUACCCUGGUAGUCCACACCGUAAACGAUGAUUACUAGGUGUGGGGGGACUGACCCCUUCCGUG
Molecule: ribosomal RNA, 788 nt
Filed under: uncultured bacterium
Lineage: Bacteria
Description: bacterial SSU rRNA
Rfam family: Bacterial small subunit ribosomal RNA
Source: RNAcentral